RNAcentral lists this microRNA precursor (103 nucleotides) under Marmota monax (woodchuck). The record is from RNAcentral. Lineage: Eukaryota; Metazoa; Chordata; Mammalia; Rodentia; Sciuridae.
AAUGGGAUAGCUGGGUCAAAUGGUGAUUCCAUUACAAAUUUUCUAAGGGAUCUCCAUACUGCUUUCCAGAAUGGUUGUACCAGUUUGCAGUUCUACUAGCAAU